Molecule: long non-coding RNA, 1948 nt
Filed under: Anas platyrhynchos platyrhynchos (common mallard)
Lineage: Eukaryota; Metazoa; Chordata; Aves; Anseriformes; Anatidae
Description: lncRNA (ENSAPLG00000021625.1)
Source: RNAcentral
GUGAUUCCCUCCUACACCCCCAGAAACCCGAGCAUGGGGAGUGGACGUGCUCUGCAGCCUUCCCCAGGGCAUGGGGACAAGCAGGAGCUUCACCAGGCAGGAGCUGUGCCAGCUGCACGGGCACGUCCUGCUCCCUGCCUCUCCCCAUCACACCCCAUUGCCCUCACACCCUCUGUCCCACAGCUCCACAUAACUGGAUCCCGCACGCCCUCCCCACAGGCAUGGUGCUGGCAGUGGCGGCCGUCAGCCUCGUCCUCCUGGCUGCAGGCAGCUGGUUUGCCAUCAGGAAAGGUGAGGAAGUUGGGGAAUGUGGGGGGAAAGGCUUAGGCCGUUGGGGUCCUCUUGGGGCUGGUGCAGUGGGAAAGGUUGUUGGGGGAACCUGGGGGUGCACAGCUGCGGGAGACGGUGCCUGGGGGUGAUGGCUGUGGGCAGCCCAUCUGGGGAGGCUGCUGAGGGAGCUGGGGAGCUUCAGCCUUCAUCCCCCAGCCCCGAGAUGGGAGCCAGGGCUGGGCAGCACCUUGGCCUGUGCACCUCAGCCCCUGUUCUUCUUGCAGGUGCCUGCAGAGGGAGAUGCCCAAGGCAGCAGCACGUUGACAGCCCACAGACGGAAGACACCAACUAUGGUGACAUCCAGUGUGAGUACUACCUCCUCCCUUGGGGGAAGCCACAUGCUCCUCUCCCCACGAAAAUACUCUGCAAGCCCCCAUUCAAUCACACCACUUCAUUUCCCACUGGGACAUUCAAAAUCCCUGCCCGUUCAUCAAGGCCAGGUUUCUCUCCAGCACCUCACGUCCUGCUUCUUCCUUGCAUGCAGAGUGCGUGCGGCUGCUGGCUGCACAAGGGACAUGGCAGCAUCCCAGUUCUCAUGGGGACAAAGCCCCUUUGCCUGGGGGGUCCUUCCACACCUAUUGCAGCCCCAGGCUUCAAUUCCCCUGCUCCAGCCUCUGCUUUUGUCCUUUCUUCACUUUUCCUACAAAGCGAUUUCGGUUUUCAUGUAGUUGAAAAGACACAGCAGCGAUGAAAGAUGUGGCUCUCUUUCCUUGUGUUUCUGGGGAAAGCAUUUUAUAGUUUGCUCUGAAACCACAGGCAGCACCAAAGAGAGGAUGUUGUGGUUGGGUGACAGGCUAUAGAUAUAUCCCCACCCUAUUUGCACCUCCCUCGAGUGUCAGCACAACCUUGUUUUCCCACGCCUGCACAGAGCAGCUCGCAAGGUGUGCUGGCUGUGCAGAGAGAGGAGAUUCCACAGAAAGCUGGAAAUACACCAAAACCUCAGCAUCUCUGCUCCACUGCUGCUUAAUGCUCAUCCCAGAGCAGGAUGAUAGGAGGGGAAAUUUGGCCAGGCUUUGAGAGCUGACCUCAGACAGCUGCUGCCCAAGGUCAGUGUGAGGUUCAGCCCUCCACCAACAGGCAGCAAGGACUCAUCAAGUGUUUUUUUUGCCCCCACAGACUCCACCAUCGCCCAUGUUCGACGGGACAGGGUGAGUCGUGGCACAGCUGUGCACAGCUCCUUUCUGCACUCCUGCAACCUGAUGCCUGCUCAUUGUGCAGGGCUCACAGUCAGCAGCUGAAGUAACAGGGUUUCAUUUCCCCCUAAAGCCUCCUCCCAUGCAGCACAUGAGAAACACCACGACAUAUGCCACAGUGACCCGCACCCAGAUCCGAUAGCGCUGCCACAGUGCAAGGGCACAGGAGCCUUGCCCAUGGCUACCUUUGCUCUGUCCAAGAGGGCUUGUGCAGCCAUAACAUGGGGCUGGGGGUGCACUUUGGUCUUCUUUGUUUGUUUGUUUUUUUGUCACAGGGAAGGGCUGUGAGUGUCUAGCCAAGACGAUAUAGGACUCAUACCUCCAUCUACAAGACAUAAAUACUUCUAAAAUACAUGACCUAUACCAAAUCUUACUGUGAAUGUAUUGAUUUUUUUUGAAUAAAAGAAAACAUCUUGCUAUGCUCA